Humulus lupulus (European hop) is the source of this 1296-nucleotide long non-coding RNA. RefSeq lists it as uncharacterized. The record is from RefSeq and is a predicted model, not a curated record. Lineage: Eukaryota; Viridiplantae; Streptophyta; Magnoliopsida; Rosales; Cannabaceae. The transcript has 6 exons.
UUUUCAAAUUUUUAAAUUUGUGAAUAUAACUGUAUUGAAUAUAUUUAUAUUUAUGUUAACAGUCAAAUUUUUUAGUAUUUUUUAACUAAGAUUGUAUCAAGAUUAUAAAAAAAAAAAAAUUUUAAAUAAACUUAGAUUUGUUCGGUUUAACCGACUAAACCGUGCUCCAAAACAGUUGAUUUUUUUUUAAUUGUUCGGUUGGUUUUUGAAUCGCACGAAUCCGUACCGAAAACCAAAUUCUGCAUCCAAUUGCAGCUUGAGCUUGUCCAAGGGGGAGAGAGAGAGAGACAAGAGUGAGAUACAGGUGGAAGGAGGUCUAAAACGACCUUGGAUCCGGCGACGUUGAGCAAGGACAAGAGUGUCGGAGCACAGCUUCGGAAGUUUAAGUAUUUUGGGUUUGUAUUUCACCUGGGUGUGAAUUCGGUCGGACACGAGUAUUUCCAUGCCCGGUUCUUGCUCAUCAGAGGCAAGUACGUUGAGAUGCACAAGCGGGACCCUCAUGAAAACCCCGGCAUUAUUGCUGUUCCACAGCUGGAGAAGCUCAAAAUUGGAUGGAAGCAUUUGAUCAUGCCAAGCAACAGACUGAAUAUGAGCUAUCUGAAGGAGGCAGUUCCAGAAACAAACUGACACAGAAGACGAGUCCCAGCAAAACCGAACUACUGUCUGGUGCUUUACUGUGCUGCUGGUUGGCCUUUGAAUAAGAAUUCCUUGUUGGCUAAAUUCGUGGAUGGCAGUGACAUGUUUCAGGAUGCAAGAUUCUAACUGAUUCCGAGUAUUGUAGAGAUACGAUUUAGAUAAAAUUUAAUUAUCUGUAAGGUAUUUGUACCUUAAGAUCUGUUUUUCUUCUACCACACGUAGCUGACUCAGUUAAUGUCUUAAUCAAUGGUAAGGGAUAUUAGAUGGUCAAGUGUGCUGCUGGGGAAAGCUGUCACUUGCAAAUAUUUUAAACAAGACAAUUUUAUGGAGAUUGAUGUAGGCAUUGGAUCUUCAUCAUUUGCAAGAGGUGUCAUUGGCCUUGUCUUGGGAUAUAUCACAAGCUUGGUGAUUGACCUGGCUAUUUUGAUAGAGGCAAUGGAAGAGUACAUUCUUGGAACUGUUCGGCUAAACUGGAUUAAGCCCGAGUCUGCUAGACAUUUGGACGUUUGAGGUUUCGUCAUUGUAAUCAUCAUCCUUAUUAUGAUAACAUUCAAUUGGUACGGUUUCUCCAUUGUUUUCAACAAUCUGUUGUAAAGUAAUAAUAAUUAGUGAACCAAUACUCAUGCAAUAAUAGAUAAAUAAUUUAUUGGUUUAUCUUUA